GUGUGAUAAAGUUAAAUUCUAUAUAAUCAUUGUAGGUAAUAUCUAUCUUAGUCUUCAUAAUUGAGUCAUAUACUGCUUUGAUGAUGAAACAUGUUAUAAAAGGACACCCCUAUUACUUGAUCCCCAACUCACUCAAAAGUGCUUGUGAGGUUCUUCUUAUAAAGAAUAACUCGGAGUUGGGAUUAAAAAAUUAAGGCGAUGCUCG
Molecule: long non-coding RNA, 205 nt
Filed under: Elaeis guineensis (African oil palm)
Lineage: Eukaryota; Viridiplantae; Streptophyta; Magnoliopsida; Arecales; Arecaceae
Description: long non-coding RNA (EGUI_LNC029199)
Source: RNAcentral